AAACAUCCAAUUCACUAUCUUUAUAGAUCUUUAGGACACUUGCUUUAUAUUUUUCAUGGAGAAUUCUAUAUUCAAUCAUAUUUUAAUCGAUGUAAGUAUUGGACACUCCUACUGACCCUUUUGGAAACAUGUAGUUCCUCAUAUCUGAUCAAACAAUUUGAUCAUAUCAUCAAAAUGAAUGUUCCAACUGCAAGAUUAUUUCAGACUUUGUGAUCUCAUAUCACGAGAAGUAAAAUUAUGAGCCACUCCAUAUAGAAAUCUUCAAAAGAUAUCUGAUCAGAAAAGCUAAUUCAUAUUCUUUUCUUGGAGUCAAUGUCAAACAUCGCCUCAUAGUAGGUUUUGGGAUCAUCUCUAUGUUCCCAAUCUUCCAUGAGAAAUGAUUUUCUCUACAUCUUCUGUUAAGCAUACCCAAGUACCUUUCAAGAGGAUUGGAUAUCCUACUAUGUGUAUGAGGUGGAGGAGGAAUAUACAUCUACUGGCUCAUCAAGAAUAGAUUCUUUAGGUCUUAUAGCUCGCUGCUCAUCAGAGACACUCUCUUUGAGCUUAACCUUCCUCCCACUGCUUCAUCUUGGUUAAAUAAUUUUUUAAGAAGAUAGCAUGUCAGGUCACAAUCAUAUUAUAAUCCUUUCAGAAGGUAGUAUCCUAAACUCUUUUAGGAUGAGCUUUAUAGACCUAUCCUCUAACAUAUUUGCCCACUGUCUUUGAUACAGAUUGGUCAUCUUUGAAUCUUGAAAUAAUUAAGAUUCAGUCCUCACCAUGUCAUAUCUUAUACGGUGUGAUAGAAACAGAUUUAGAGAGAACCCAAUCCCAUGGAAAUAAAGCAUAUCUCUAAAGAAACAAAAUAAAUCAGUGAAUUACAUCAUGGACCAGAUCAUAUCUCAUAUAGUUCCAUGACUCUUCUUAUCUCGUUGAGCUGAGAUGUACUAAGAGGGAUCCAAUAUAAAACUAUAUCAUUUUAUGAGAUAAUCAAAAAAUUUCUUUCUUUGAUAUUGUAUCCUCGAUCU
Molecule: long non-coding RNA, 1004 nt
Filed under: Elaeis guineensis (African oil palm)
Lineage: Eukaryota; Viridiplantae; Streptophyta; Magnoliopsida; Arecales; Arecaceae
Description: long non-coding RNA (EGUI_LNC081302)
Source: RNAcentral